AAGACAAAAGAUGCUAAUGCAUAAGUUGUUUUCUCUAAGCGAAAACCUCAGUAUUCCUGUUUCACUGCAGUGUUGGUACUUUGCAAUAAAUGGGUGGGUUGGGGGUUGCAGUUUGGGCACUUGUCUCUAAAAGGGUCAUCUUCCCUGGCUUAGGGCCUGUGGUGACUCUGUGUGUCGUGGUAGAGCAAAGCUUACUCACGGUGGCUGGGAAGCAGAGGGAGGAGGGGCUGGGUCUUGGUAUUCCUUGCCAGGGCCCUGCUUUGGCCCCUGGGCCCCACUACUUCUGGUAAUGCCAUAGCUUGGGCACCGAGCUUUCAGCACAGUGGCCCUUUGGCGGCAUUUAAGAUCCACACCAUCCCAGGCCCUGAAGACCACACUCAUUUUCCCAAGCUGCAGAGUCAGCAUGUGAAGGGCUGGAGGUGCAGCUCAGAGGUAGUCUAGCACGUGUGGGGUCUGGGGUUUCAUCUGCAGCACUGUGAAGAGCAAAAUGAAACAGAGACAGCUGAGCAAGGUGCCGAGCCACUCAGAUUCAAGUUUUGUGUUUUGGCCUCACAGCUGAGAGGUGCUGGUAUUGCUCACCCUCCCCAACCCCUUCCUCCCUGGGCCCGGUUCUGUGCCAAGUGUCCAGGCAGGUCGCGUGUGCGGUAGUGGGGGUGGGGGAACGCUCACAACACAAGGAAAUGUUGGCUAAUAGAAUAUCUUUCCCCUACUCCCUUCUUCCAUUGGAUGUCUAAAUUCUUCUUUUCUUUAUUAGGAGGAAGUUUUAUUUCACAGCACAAUUAAACACAAACAACAGAUGGGACCCUCCAAAUCUUUCAUUCCAAGCACUCUAUUUCAGCUCACAGUGGUGCUCUGUCCCCACGUCCUUUCUGUGGGAGGACACUGGGGGACUUUCCUACUGCACACCCCCUUUGUACACACUGUGCACAGUGUUCUAACACUCUUCAUGUUGACAGCUUUGGACGAUGUUUACAUUUCCUUCUUUGAAAAUGUCCUCUUUGCACUUCGCCAGUUGGACAGACCUGCCGUUUCUGCCUUCCUUAGUGGUUGUCCUAGCCUGAACAACGGCUGCUUUCUCCUGGAAAUGAUUCUAUUCAGGGCCCUUUUAGAAUUCUUGAAGGCGUUUCCAUUGACUCAGCCAGUUUCCACAUCCUCUGCCAGUGGUAUUCAGGGAUCAACCUCAGAUGUCCAGCAGCCACUCUGGUUUUGGAUAUGCCAAACAGUAAACCCAGGGUGGACAUCAUUCUUCCUGCUGCUCUGGUCUCUUUCCCACCACCUCUACUUUUCCAGCCUCAUCAGCUAUUUUUUUUGUUUUUUUGGUACCGGGGAUCGAACUUGGGUCCUUGUGCUUGCAAAGCAGGUGGUGAAACCACUGAGCUAAAUCCCGGCCCCUAAUCAUCAGCUAUUCUUGACUCAGUUCCCAGCCUUCUUAAACCUUACCCAGGUCUGGGAAUUAGAUUUGAAAUACAACCUGCAAAACCAUCUACAGAGGUUCUUGUUAAAGGAUAACCUAUGCAGAAUUCAAAUAUAAAUAUCAAACCCUCAAAGCUUAGACACAAAACCCCACAGGAUUCUUGGUGAAACCCUAGCACUGAAUGCAGCCCUGAGUCUUGGGCUCUGAGCCCCAGCACCUGGCCACAUUCUUGGAGGGGUACAGAGUCCUGGACUCCACCUCUGCUUGGGCCCUGGAAGGACCAUAUGGACUACUAGGUCCCAACUUCCUCUGCAACAGGAAGGUGCUCAGGACCCAGGGCUCCAACUCAGAUCCUCUACUUCCAAAUACGACAACUUCAGUAGGCUCUGCUCAUCUUUCCUAACCUCUGAUGCAAUGCUCAAAUCUACUGCCCAUCACAGGUACUCUCUGGGAGCACUAGGCUGGUGAAGCCUUCCCUGAAGGACUUGAGAAUUCUCAGGUGGGGCUGGAAACCUGGACUUUAACAAAAUCUUUGGAAUCUCCCCAUUUGCUCACCCUUUCCUUAUCCCUCAGAGUGUUUCUUGCAUCUGCUAUGACCUUUUCCAUAUUUGCAGGCAUGGAAGCCUCACAUUAUGCCAGGAAGGAUUUCCUAAAGGGGAAGGUUAAUGACUGUCACCAGCAAUGGAUGGGCAGAGACUCCUAUGGAACCAGCAGGGUUUGGAGCAAGGUGACCCUGAAUCAACAGCAGGCCUGUUCUCUUCCUGCUAGGUCUUACUGUGGUCUUCCUGGGAGAACGCCAUCUCUGCUGGGGAAGCAGACACUGCUCAGGGAAGCAGGGUGCUGGCAGGAUGCUCAGCAGGGACAUCUGCAUGUGGAGUGAGGGCCCAAGGAUGUGCUAAGUGUGGUGAGCAGCUCUAGCUGAUAAUCACAGUAGGACCAGCUUGGCUCCAAAACUCCUGAUUGUUUACAGAAGUACACCAGAAGAACCACAGACUGAAAAUUUGUUUUGGUGGAAAAUUUGAGAAGAAAUCUCAGAGUAGCUUUUCACAAGCCUCAAGGGUGGAAGCCAAACUAGGGAGCCAGCAUUGCACACAAAUGCUCACAGAUGACGUUCAGGCAAAGCCAGUGUCUCCAGUUGUGUCUCACUAUGAAAAGAACAGAUUCUUAUUGACUUAAAUGUGCUCAGGAAGAGUUUCUAAAUUGGGGAAAUAUAGGGAGAAAAAGUAAAUGUAAAUGUUUCAAUUUUGUUUAAAAAGCAUAUUUUAUCAAUAAAACAUAAAAAGAAUCAGCACUGUUUUAACUAAAAAGCGAUUAAAAUCAUGAUUUCGCUUCAUCAUUUCAUGCAGUUUCAUGUAAUUGAGUCCUGUUUUUCACAAACUUGGUAGGUGACCUUCACUCCGCCCUCAGCUACUGGGAGCUGUACUGGCUGGAGUUCUCCCUUCCAUCCGAGCCUCCUGGAAGACACUGCCGCUGCUCAAACUACUCUCCUGGGAGACACCAGGGUCAAGCAGCUUUACAGGUGGGUGGCAAGAUCUAAAAUAGCCCUGGUUAAAGAUCUGAUGAGAAUUGUGAUCUCUGCAAAUAUCAUAAUUUUAACUUAAGAAUGGGAAUUAUGCCCAACAACAGUAUUCUGAGUCACAACGGAUCUUAGAAAUUUCAUACAGUGUUUUGGAAUGUAUAUUAACAAUAUAUUCAUAUGAAUAUAACUCAAAGGUUAUGCACCAUUUCUUAUUUGUUAAUACUUUUCAUAUAGUUUUUUGGGGUUUUUUUGGUACCAGGUAUUGAACUCAGGACCUUGCGCCUGUGAGGCAGGUGCAGUGCCGCGCUAAGCCACAUCCCAAACCCUUUCCAUAUAGUUCAAUAAAUGAAAAUAAAUCUAAAAUGUCUCUUGGACUUCCAAGGACUGGCUCUCUGGAAACCCCAAGGUUAGCUCAGGAUAAAAAUGUUUUAUUUAUUUAUUUACUCCUUCAUUUAUAUUGAGACAGGGUCUCACUAUGUAGUUCAGGCUGUCCUCAAACUCACUAUGUAGCCCAGGCUUACUAGGUAGCCCAGGCUGGCCUCAAAUUCACAUCAAUUCUCCUGACUCAGUCUCCUGAGUGCUGGGAUUACAGACUAUGCUUGGCUAAGAUUUAAUUUUAGAAUUUGAUUUUGGGAGGCUUUUAAAAAUAUCGAAUAACAAUUAAAAAUAAGAUCUCAGGUUAUUACUCCAAAAUGACAAAAGAUUUCCCAGGCAUGAAGGACAGAAAUUAUCACAGAGUCUUUGUUUUCCAGGCCAGCUGUUGACAAGGGAAAGCCAAGCCUCUGAGAGUCCCCAGGGAGGGCCGAUCAGCCUCCCAGGAAACUGCCUGCCCAUGCAGGGUGCAGUUGGGUGACUCCAGGACACCUUCAGUAUUAGUGCUCAAUUAAAAAUACAACUAAAGGGCUGAAGAUUUAGCCUUGCAAACGCCAAGGUCCUGAGUUUGAUCCCCAGUACCGCAAAAAAAACAAAAACAAAAACAAAAACAAAAAAACUAAGAAGUAAAAGCACUUCUAAUUUUAGUUAACUUGAUCCCACAUACAAAUUUUCUUGGCGAAAUUCAUCCUCCACAAAACCACUUUCUUAGUCAACAAAAACAUGUCUUAGUCAACAGCCUCCUUCAAAGAGCCUCCUCUCCCAGUGUUCUUUCUAGUUUUAAUCCCUGUAUGGGUGAGAAUAGGAAUCCUUGGUAAUUAUGAACCAGUAUUCUGUACACUAACACCGUUUCCUUGUUUCUAGACAUGUUUUUCAUGCUCAUCAAUAGGCCCCCAAUAUGUUGAUUCUUUAUUCCACAUAAAACAUGACACUGAAAUUAUUUAAACUUUAACCUCAUGCUUAAUAAUUGUUUCAGCAAUCCAACUUAUUUAGAAAUGACCCAGGUUACCUAAUGAAUACCUACUCCUUACUUUACAGAACACGUCCUUAAGACUUUUUGUUACCAAAAAGAUUUUUGAACCUAUUGAGUUCUUUUAUAAAUAUUUAUUCCUUUUGCAUUCGCCUAAUUUACUCGUUUUUAUGUCUGAACUGCUGAUGGAAAUUUUAGUUGAACAGGAUGUGAGCUAGAAAUGUGGAAUCAGAGUUCAUCCAAAAGACUUGAAUUUUUAGACCCAAUAAGGACACUAAGAGAGAAGGCAAAACAGCUACAACCAACCAACCAACCAAGCAAGCAACCAAUUUACCAAGAGGAAUAAAAAAAACAGAGGGUCAAACAGCUCUAAAACAGGAAGAGGUGAGGCACUGGGGAGACAGACACUCAGCUGAUAGUCAUGUGUUAAUGUUACAGGCCAAUUUUUUCUUUUUUUUUUUUUUUGAGACAGGAUCAUGCUAUGUGGUUUAGGCUGGCCUUGAACUCAAGGUAAUCCUUGUGCUUCGGUCUCUUGAAUGCUGGGAUUAUAGGAAUGUGCCACUUCACUCAGCUAUUCCCAAAUAUUUUGACACCAGUAAGAAUGUUACAGAAAAGAUAAAGUAAAGAGGAGCUUUAGGAAAUUAGGAGAAAAUGUUGUGGUUAUUUCCAUGGAAACAGAAUGUGCAAUGUGCUUAUCUUUAAAUUUUCUUGUGCUAGCCAGGAGGAACUAUGGGUAAAGAGUAAAACAUAUAUGGUUACUUAGAGCUCAGUUUAUCAAUGGUUCAAGAAGAAGGGUCUUGUUGGAAAAAGGCAAACCAAAGGCAGAUGCCCCUGCUUGGAAUAUAGGACUGUGCACACCCCCUGGAGAGACCCCAUCUCCUCCCUGGGGAGCUGACUCUCAUCUAAGAGCUCUGACAAUCACCCCACCUUUCUGUCUGAGUGCUGUCUCUGGCCCACUUAUGUUCAGAGCACAGCUAGUUAGGGAUCCCCAGGGGCACCCCCAGCAUGGGAAUGGACACUUGUGUUCAGUGGGAAAUGUCUUCCACAACUGGAAAAGAUACAGGAGCUUUUAGUGAA
This is a long non-coding RNA of Heterocephalus glaber (naked mole-rat), 5352 nucleotides long. NCBI's taxonomy places the organism in Eukaryota, Metazoa, Chordata, Mammalia, Rodentia, Bathyergidae. The record is from Ensembl.